This 407-nucleotide ribosomal RNA is filed under the name uncultured bacterium. RNAcentral describes it as "partial 16S ribosomal RNA". It matches the Rfam family "Bacterial small subunit ribosomal RNA", at positions 28 to 526 of the family's 1533-position model. The record is from RNAcentral.
GACGAACGCUGGCGGCGUGCCUAAUACAUGCAAGUAGGACGCAGUUGCGAACGGGUGAGUAACGCGUAGGUAACUGCCUAUCAGAGGGGGAUAACUAUUGGAAACGAUAGCUAAUACCGCAUACUAGUAGAUGGACCUGCGUUGUAUUAGCUAGUAGGUAGGGUAAUGGCCUACCUAGGCAACGAUACAUAGCCGACCUUGUAGGGGGAUCAGGCAAACUGGGACUGGGGAAAGGGCCAGACUCCUACGGGGGGCAGCAGUAGGGAAUCUUCGGCAAAGGGGGGAACCCUGACCGAGCAAGGCCGCAUGGAUGAGGAAGGUUUUCGGGUCGUAAAACUCUGUUGUUAAGAAAGCGGUACUUAACCAGAAAGGGACGGCUAACUACGUGCCAGCAGCCGCGGUAAUAC